UGCGAGCAACGCAAGGCUGGAGGGCAUUAGACUUUUUAGUUUUUUGAGGGUCUUGACGUGAGAGCGACGCAUGGGCUGAGGGCGUUAGAGUUUUUAGUUUUUUGAGAGGACUUGACAUGCGAGCGACGCAGGGUCUGAGGGCGUUAGACUUUUUAGUUUUUUGAGGGACUUGACGUGCGAGCGACGCAAGGGCUGAGGGCGGUGGACUUUUUGUUUUUAAAGGACUUGACGUGCGAGCGACGCAAGGGCUGAGGGCGGUGGACUUUUUGUUUUUAAAGGACUUGACGUGCGAGCGACGCAAGGGCUGAGGGCGGUGGACUUUUUGUUUUUAAAGGACUUGACGUGCGAGCGACGCAAGGGCUGAGGGCGGUGGACUUUUUGUUUUUAAAGGACUUGACGUGCGAGCGACGCAAGGGCUGAGGGCGGUGGACUUUUUGUUUUUAAAGGACUUGACGUGCGAGCGAAGCAAUGGCUGAGACCUUUUUGUUUUUUGAGGGACUUGACGUGCGAGCGACGCAUGGGCUGAGGGGGUUGGACUUUUUAGUUUUUUGAAGGACUUGACGUGCGAGCGACGCAUGGGCUGUGGGUUGUGGCCUUUUUGUUUUUUUGAGGGACUUGACGUGCGAGCGACGCAAGGGCUGAGGGCGGUGGACUUUUUGUUUUUUAAAGGACUUGACGUGCGAGCGACGCAAUGGCUGAGACCUUUUUGUUUUUUGAGGGACUUGACGUGCGAGCGACGCAGGGGUUGAGGGCGGUGGACUUUUUAGCUUUUUGAGGGACUUGACAUGCGAGCGACGCAAGGGCUGAAGGCGUUAGAGUUUUUAGUUUUUUGAGGGACUUGACGUGCGAGUAACGCAAGGGCUGAGGGCGGUGGACAUUUUAGUUUUUUUUUGAGGGACUUGACGUGAGAGCGACACAUGGGCUGAGGGCGUUAGACUUUUUAGUUUUUUGAAGGACUUGACGUGCGAGCGACGCAGGAGCUGAGGGACGGUGGCUUUUGUUUUUUGAGGGGCUUGACGUGCGAGCGACGCA
RNAcentral lists this long non-coding RNA (1032 nucleotides) under Sinocyclocheilus grahami. Its description in RNAcentral is "lncRNA (ENSSGRG00000001582.1)". The record is from RNAcentral. Lineage: Eukaryota; Metazoa; Chordata; Actinopteri; Cypriniformes; Cyprinidae.